GAGUUUGAUCAUGGCUCAGGAUGAACGCUGGCGGCGUGCCUAAUACAUGCAAGUCGAACGAGGUGCUUUUUGUAGCAAUACGAGGAGUAUCCUAGUGGCGAACGGGUGAGUAACAAAUAAGUGACCUACCCCAAAGUGUGGAAUAACAGUCCGAAAGGAUUGCUAAUGCCGCAUGUGGUCUGCGAGUUUAGAAAUCGUUGACUAAAGGAGCAAUCCGCUUUGGGAGGGACCUGCGUCCCAUCAGCUAGUUGGCGAGGUAACGGCUCACCAAGGCGACGACGGGUAGGGGACCUGAGAGGGUGGCCCCCCACAAUGGAACUGAAACACGGUCCAUACACCUACGGGUGGCAGCAGUAGGGAAUAUUGCACAAUGGGCGAAAGCCUGAUGCAGCAACGCCGCGUGCGCGAUGAA
Molecule: ribosomal RNA, 412 nt
Filed under: uncultured Chloroflexota bacterium
Lineage: Bacteria; Bacillati; Chloroflexota
Description: bacterial SSU rRNA
Rfam family: Bacterial small subunit ribosomal RNA
Source: RNAcentral